AGUGAACGCUGGCGGUAGGCCUAACACAUGCAAGUCGAACGGCAGCACAGAGGAGCUUGCUCCUUGGGUGGCGAGUGGCGGACGGGUGAGGAAUACAUCGGAAUCUACUCCGUCGUGGGGGAUAACGUAGGGAAACUUACGCUAAUACCGCAUACGACCUACGGGUGAAAGCAGGGGACCUUCGGGCCUUGCGCGAUUGAAUGAGCCGAUGUCGGAUUAGCUAGUUGGCGGGGUAAAGGCCCACCAAGGCGACGAUCCGUAGCUGGUCUGAGAGGAUGAUCAGCCACACUGGAACUGAGACACGGUCCAGACUCCUACGGGAGGCAGCAGUGGGGAAUACUGGACAAUGAGCGCAAGCCUGAUCCAGCCAUACCGCGUGGGUGAAGAAGGCCUUCGGGUUGUAAAGCCCUUUUGUUGGGAAAGAAAUCCAGCUGGCUAAUACCCGGUUGGGAUGACGGUACCCAAAGAAUAAGCACCGGCUAACUUCGUGCCAGCCGCCGCCGUAA
Molecule: ribosomal RNA, 506 nt
Filed under: uncultured bacterium
Lineage: Bacteria
Description: partial 16S ribosomal RNA
Rfam family: Bacterial small subunit ribosomal RNA
Source: RNAcentral